This 540-nucleotide ribosomal RNA is filed under the name Taphrinomycotina sp. RNAcentral describes it as "LSU rRNA". It matches the Rfam family "Eukaryotic large subunit ribosomal RNA", at positions 62 to 648 of the family's 3401-position model. The record is from RNAcentral. Lineage: Eukaryota; Fungi; Ascomycota.
AAACUAACAAGGAUUCCCUCAGUAACGGCGAGCGAAGCGGGAAGAGCUCAAAUUUGAAAUCUGGCAGCUUUGCUGCUCGAGUUGUAAUUUGGAGAAGCGUUAUCAUGCAGCGUGCAGUUGUGCAAGUUCCUUGGGAUAGGACGCCAUAGAGGGUGAGAGCCCCGUUGGACAGCUGUAGGCAGCGGUUUGAGGCGUUUUCGACGAGUCGAGUUGUUUGGGAUUGCAGCUCUAAGAGGGUGGUAAAUUCCAUCUAAAGCUAAAUAUUGGCGAGAGACCGAUAGCGAACAAGUAGAGUGAUCGAAAGAUGAAAAGAACUUUGAAAAGAGAGUUAAACAGGAUGUGAAAUUGUUGAAAGGGAAGCGUUCGAAAGCAGACAUGCAUUCGUGCAGGCCAGGAAGGGUUUGUGGUGCCGGAGAAAGACAGCAGGAAAGUGGCCGGUGGGGCAACCUGACGGUGUUAUAGCCUGGUGUGGAAUACGGCGCUGGAGACCGAGGACCGCGACAACUUGUCAAGGAUUCUGGCAUAAUGGUUUUGAACGAC